This is a long non-coding RNA of Mustela lutreola (European mink), 378 nucleotides long. RefSeq lists it as uncharacterized. The record is from RefSeq and is a predicted model, not a curated record. NCBI's taxonomy places the organism in Eukaryota, Metazoa, Chordata, Mammalia, Carnivora, Mustelidae. The transcript has 3 exons.
UACUAGUUGAUGGCUGUCUGACCCAGCACACUCACGUCCUUGCCAUGUGACCCUGGACAGCCCAGAAAUGCGACCCACUAAGUCUGACAGGGGACAGAAAGACCAGAGGAAAAAUGUUUGCACUUGAAGAACCUAACCCAAUGCUUAAAACAUCAUGGGUGGCUCAAUAAACAUUUGACAGAGCAAAGAUGGAAGGAAAAUGAGGAAGAGAUGGACACACUCAUUUACUCAAUUAUGUAUUAUGUAAUAAGUGGAAUUCUAGUUGUCUGGGAUUGGCAAUGCACCCACUUACAUAAUUCAUUGUCUGAGUGAAAUCAUCGUGGCUAUCACCAUCACCAUCAUCCAUUAUUACUCAAAUAAUCAUUUUCUUCUUCAAAA